Molecule: ribosomal RNA, 555 nt
Filed under: uncultured bacterium
Lineage: Bacteria
Description: partial 16S ribosomal RNA
Rfam family: Bacterial small subunit ribosomal RNA
Source: RNAcentral
UAGGGAAUCUUCCACAAUGGACGAAAGUCUGAUGGAGCAACGCCGCGUGAGUGAAGAAGGUUUUCGGAUCGUAAAGCUCUGUUGUUGGCGAAGAAGGAUAGAGGCAGUAACUGGUCUUUAUUUGACGGUAAUCAACCAGAAAGUCACGGCUAACUACGUGCCAGCAGCCGCGGUAAUACGUAGGUGGCAAGCGUUGUCCGGAUUUAUUGGGCGUAAAGCGAGCGCAGGCGGAAUGAUAAGUCUGAUGUGAAAGCCCACGGCUCAACCGUGGAACUGCAUCGGAAACUGUCAUUCUUGAGUGCAGAAGGGGAGAGUGGAACUCCAUGUGUAGCGGUGGAAUGCGUAGAUAUAUGGAAGAACACCAGUGGCGAAGGCGGCUCUCUGGUCUGCAACUGACGCUGAGGCUCGAAAGCAUGGGUAGCGAACAGGAUUAGAUACCCUGGUAGUCCAUGCCGUAAACGAUGAGCGCUAGGUGUUGGGGACUUUCCGGUCCUCAGUGCCGCAGCAAACGCAUUAAGCGCUCCGCCUGGGGAGUACGACCGCAAGGUUGAAAUC